CGGGUUACGGCGCCCGAUGCGAGACGCUCAUGAGACCCCAUGAAAGGUGUUGGUUGCUCUAGACAGCAGGACGGUGGCCAUGGAAGUCGGAACCCGCCAAGGAGUGUGUAACAACUCACCUGCCGAAGCAACUAGCCCUGAAAAUGGAUGGCGCUCCAGCGUCGAGCCCAUACCCGGCCGAGGCUGCAGACUUAUGUGGCCUCGAGUAGGAGGGUCGCGGCGACGUGCGUCGAAGGUGCCGGGCGCGAGCCCGCCUGGAGCCGUCGCCGGUGCAGAUCUUGGUGGUAGUAGCA
Molecule: ribosomal RNA, 293 nt
Filed under: unidentified
Description: Speocera sp. n. 25 FL-2019 partial large subunit ribosomal RNA
Rfam family: Eukaryotic large subunit ribosomal RNA
Source: RNAcentral